CUUUAACCGGAGGAUAGCCCCGAGAAAUCGGGAUUAAUACUCCAUAACAUUAUGAAGAGGCAUCUCUUUAUAAUUAAAGCUCCGGCGGUUUUAGAUGGGCAUGCGUGACAUUAGCUAGUUGGUGAGGUGACGGCUCACCAAGGCUACGAUGUCUAUGGGUUCUGAGAGGAUUAUCCCCCACACUGGUACUGAGACACGGACCAGACUCCUACGGGAGGCAGCAGUAAGGAAUAUUGGGCAAUGGACGCAAGUCUGACCCAGCCAUGCCGCGUGAAGGAUGACGGCCCUAUGGGUUGUAAACUUCUUUUGUACGGGAAAAAACCCCUGGUCGUGAACCGGGGCUGAUGGUACCGUAAGAAUAAGCAUCGGCUAACUCCGUGCCAGCAGCCGCGGUAAUACGGAGGAUGCAAGCGUUAUCCGGAUUCAUUGGGUUUAA
This 436-nucleotide ribosomal RNA is filed under the name uncultured bacterium. Its description in RNAcentral is "bacterial SSU rRNA". It matches the Rfam family "Bacterial small subunit ribosomal RNA", at positions 130 to 563 of the family's 1533-position model. The record is from RNAcentral.